Molecule: long non-coding RNA, 1051 nt
Filed under: Homo sapiens (human)
Lineage: Eukaryota; Metazoa; Chordata; Mammalia; Primates; Hominidae
Description: HSALNT0354961
Source: RNAcentral
UAAGACACCGUGCCUGGCCACUAAUAAUAAUAAUUUAAAAAUUUCUGAAAAUGAUUCUGCAUCUGCCAAAUGUGCUGCAUGAAUUCUCAGCAUAACUCAGUGACACAGUUUAAUCCCCAUUUUCCAGAUGCGAAAAUUGAGAUUCAGAGCAGUGUAAUGAACCGAGCUCACACCGCUGGUAGGUGGAGCAGGUGUGCGUGUUUUGUGCUCAUGUAGGGGGUUGGGGAGUGUUCCAGCCAGCCUCUGUGCACCUGGGGUGGGGGUGGAAUGAGGAGGGGGUUGUUGUGAGCCUGAGGGUCGCACUGUCUGUGGUUCUCUCCUUCCUGUCAGCUGAGCCCAGCUCCAGACUCAAGAGGAACGGCUGGGGUGAUACCAUCUCCUGGUUUCUGCGGGGGUGUAUGUGAGUUCCCUCCCCCUGCCCCCAGCUGUGGGACUGUCCCUUCUCACAGCCACCACCAACUGACUUCCCCACAGCCUCCAGAUGAGCAAAAAGGUAAAACUCCGGCAUUUUCCACAUCCUCAGCAUCCUCCACCUCCUCAGCUGUUCGCACCCGUGCUGGGAUGCAGGUCAGAGACAGCCAGAGACACAGUGGACUGCAGAGAUCGAGAGACGCGGUGGGGAGACAAAGAGACGGAUAAAGAGAAGCACAGAGAUGGAGAACGAAGUCAGUCAGAGAGACAGAGAUGCUGGGCCAGAGUGACAGCCAGAAAGCCACGGGAUGCCCAGAAGCAGAGACGUCUGCAGAGAGACAGUGAUGGACAAAGAGAAACAGAAACAAGGCGGGAAACAGGAGGAUCGCUUGAGCCCAGGAGAUCGAGACCAGCCUGGGCAACAAACGAAUAGCGUGAGUCAAGAGAAUCCCCUCACUCAGACACCCAGGUUCGGGUCCCAACUUUGUCGCCGUGUGACCUUGGGCAAAUGACCUCACCUCUGAGCCUCAACGUCUUCUUCUGCAAAAUGGGUUAGUGAUCCUGACUAUGGGGCUGUUGAUUCAGGAUUCGGCGGGAACGCCCAGCACUUCCUGAGUACACAAGAGUGCUGAGAAAAUGG